This 1348-nucleotide ribosomal RNA is filed under the name uncultured bacterium. Its description in RNAcentral is "bacterial SSU rRNA". It matches the Rfam family "Bacterial small subunit ribosomal RNA", at positions 28 to 1381 of the family's 1533-position model. The record is from RNAcentral.
GACGAACGCUGGCGGCGUGCUUAACACAUGCAAGUCGAACGAUGAUGCCCAGCUUGCUGGGUGGAUUAGUGGCGAACGGGUGAGUAACACGUGAGUAACCUGCCCCUGACUCUGGGAUAAGCGUUGGAAACGACGUCUAAUACUGGAUAUGACUGCCGGCCGCAUGGUCUGGUGGUGGAAAGAUUUUUUGGUUGGGGAUGGACUCGCGGCCUAUCAGCUUGUUGGUGAGGUAAUGGCUCACCAAGGCGACGACGGGUAGCCGGCCUGAGAGGGUGACCGGCCACACUGGGACUGAGACACGGCCCAGACUCCUACGGGAGGCAGCAGUGGGGAAUAUUGCACAAUGGGCGAAAGCCUGAUGCAGCAACGCCGCGUGAGGGAUGACGGCCUUCGGGUUGUAAACCUCUUUUAGUAGGGAAGAAGGGAGCUUGCUCCUGACGGUACCUGCAGAAAAAGCACCGGCUAACUACGUGCCAGCAGCCGCGGUAAUACGUAGGGUGCAAGCGUUGUCCGGAAUUAUUGGGCGUAAAGAGCUCGUAGGCGGUUUGUCGCGUCUGCUGUGAAAUCCCGAGGCUCAACCUCGGGCUUGCAGUGGGUACGGGCAGACUAGAGUGCGGUAGGGGAGAUUGGAAUUCCUGGUGUAGCGGUGGAAUGCGCAGAUAUCAGGAGGAACACCGAUGGCGAAGGCAGAUCUCUGGGCCGUAACUGACGCUGAGGAGCGAAAGCAUGGGGAGCGAACAGGAUUAGAUACCCUGGUAGUCCAUGCCGUAAACGUUGGGCGCUAGAUGUAGGGACCUUUCCACGGUUUCUGUGUCGUAGCUAACGCAUUAAGCGCCCCGCCUGGGGAGUACGGCCGCAAGGCUAAAACUCAAAGGAAUUGACGGGGGCCCGCACAAGCGGCGGAGCAUGCGGAUUAAUUCGAUGCAACGCGAAGAACCUUACCAAGGCUUGACAUACACCGGAAACGGCCAGAGAUGGUCGCCCCCUUGUGGUCGGUGUACAGGUGGUGCAUGGUUGUCGUCAGCUCGUGUCGUGAGAUGUUGGGUUAAGUCCCGCAACGAGCGCAACCCUCGUUCUAUGUUGCCAGCGCGUUAUGGCGGGGACUCAUAGGAGACUGCCGGGGUCAACUCGGAGGAAGGUGGGGAUGACGUCAAAUCAUCAUGCCCCUUAUGUCUUGGGCUUCACGCAUGCUACAAUGGCCGGUACAAAGGGCUGCGAUACCGUAAGGUGGAGCGAAUCCCAAAAAGCCGGUCUCAGUUCGGAUUGAGGUCUGCAACUCGACCUCAUGAAGUCGGAGUCGCUAGUAAUCGCAGAUCAGCAACGCUGCGGUGAAUACGUUCCCGGGCCU